Non-coding RNA from Aspergillus flavus AF70, 131 nucleotides. The record is from Rfam. Lineage: Eukaryota; Fungi; Ascomycota; Eurotiomycetes; Eurotiales; Aspergillaceae.
GCCCCUGUAGCGCAAUGGUAGCGCGUGAGACUGUAAGUUCACACAACUUAUCAAUUCACCAAUUGCAACUCCCUUACUAAUUCAUUCACAGUCUAAUCUCAAGGUUGCGGGUUCGACCCCCGCCAGGGGUU